Molecule: transfer RNA, 66 nt
Filed under: Ictidomys tridecemlineatus (thirteen-lined ground squirrel)
Lineage: Eukaryota; Metazoa; Chordata; Mammalia; Rodentia; Sciuridae
Description: Spermophilus tridecemlineatus (thirteen-lined ground squirrel) tRNA
Rfam family: tRNA
About the family: Transfer RNA (tRNA) molecules are approximately 80 nucleotides in length. Their secondary structure includes four short double-helical elements and three loops (D, anti-codon, and T loops). Further hydrogen bonds mediate the characteristic L-shaped molecular structure. tRNAs have two regions of fundamental functional importance: the anti-codon, which is responsible for specific mRNA codon recognition, and the 3' end, to which the tRNAs corresponding amino acid is attached (by aminoacyl-tRNA synthetases). tRNAs cope with the degeneracy of the genetic code in two manners: having more than one tRNA (with a specific anti-codon) for a particular amino acid; and 'wobble' base-pairing, i.e. permitting non-standard base-pairing at the 3rd anti-codon position.
Source: Rfam by way of RNAcentral
GUGGAUAGCUUAAUGGUAGAGCACUUACCUACCAUGUAUGAGUCCCUGGAUUCAAUUUCCAGCACA